This 446-nucleotide ribosomal RNA is filed under the name uncultured soil bacterium. RNAcentral's name for it is "bacterial SSU rRNA". It matches the Rfam family "Bacterial small subunit ribosomal RNA", at positions 26 to 476 of the family's 1533-position model. The record is from RNAcentral.
AGAUUGAACGCUGGCGGCGUGCCUAACACAUGCAAGUCGAACGGGAGUAGCAAUACUCUAGUGGCGGACGGGUGAGGAAUACGUAGGAAUUUGCCCUUAAGUGGGGGAUAACCCGGGGAAACCCGGAUUAAUACCGCAUGACCUCGAAAGAGCAAAGUGGGGGAUCGCAAGACCUCACGCUUUUGGAGAAGCCUACGUCGGAUUAGCUAGUUGGUGAGGUAAUGGCUCACCAAGGCGACGAUCCGUAACUGGUCUGAGAGGAUGAUCAGUCACACCGGAACUGAGACACGGUCCGGACUCCUACGGGAGGCAGCAGUGGGGAAUAUUGGACAAUGGGCGCAAGCCUGGAUCCAGCAAUGCCGCGUGUGUGAAGAAGGCCUUACGGGUUGUAAACGUCGUAACUUUAAAGGUUAGGGUAAAGAAAAAACGUGACUUACUAACACAGU